This 76-nucleotide transfer RNA is filed under the name Verrucomicrobiota bacterium. RNAcentral describes it as "Verrucomicrobia bacterium (anaerobic digester metagenome) tRNA-Ala". It matches the Rfam family "tRNA". Rfam says of the family: Transfer RNA (tRNA) molecules are approximately 80 nucleotides in length. Their secondary structure includes four short double-helical elements and three loops (D, anti-codon, and T loops). RNAcentral also lists the same sequence under 1 other name. The record is from RNAcentral. Lineage: Bacteria; Pseudomonadati; Verrucomicrobiota.
GGGGUCGUAGCUCAGAUGGUAGAGCACCACAAUGGCAUUGUGGGGGUCAGGGGUUCGAAUCCCCUCGGCUCCACCA